RNAcentral lists this long non-coding RNA (1169 nucleotides) under Phoenix dactylifera (date palm). RNAcentral's name for it is "long non-coding RNA (PDAC_LNC004788)". Lineage: Eukaryota; Viridiplantae; Streptophyta; Magnoliopsida; Arecales; Arecaceae. The record is from RNAcentral.
UCGCCCUCCACCGGGUGUCGCAUGCUUGCCCCUCGGGGGAUUCUAACCGGCCGGCCCGACGCAAUGCCAAUGCGCCCCUUCGCCUUGACCGACGAUGACCUCGCCGAGCUCUUCACCGUCAGAAACUAGUCGUUAAUACCUCAGAGGAGAUUUUCCUCCCCAGAGUUUCUCUCUCUAGAAACUAGCCGUUCUUGCACUUCAUAGCACUUAAGGAUGAUUUUUAGUCUUUGAGGAAUUGAAUUGUUACCUAACAUAAAGGAUCUCUAGGUUUUUUAUAGCUGCAGGGUUUCGAAUCUCCUGUGAAUUGUAUCUUAACAACCUAAGGUCAUGUGUAACCACUUGUAGAUUUAGCAUAAUCCUUGGAGGCUAUUAUGGUAAUCUUUGUGUCUGGCUUGAUGGUUGGAAUGCACUUUCGUGUGUAGGAAAAAUUGGCUGUUGAGGUGGUGAGGUUCAGGUCGACUUGGAGUAGACACCAAGCUGAGGAAUGUCCGAGCUACACUAUUUCUUGUCAAGUGAUUUGUGGCCUCGAAGGUCUUUUGGUUUGCCUGUCCUGCUUCCUAGUUUGACCAAGAUGGAUUUGGUCAGGCUACGCGGGAUGCCACACAAUGCUAAACUAGGCCAAUCCGGAUGUACUAUAUCAUCAAGUUCAUUUUCCACCACAACAAUAAUGAUCAAUAAUUGAAGCUUUCUAACAACAAAACUAUAUUAUUGUCAAGACUUUUGUCAUUGAUAAAAUAAUUUUCACAUGGUAAAAACAUUUUGGAGGAAAAUUUUGGGAAAGAAAUUGAAUUCAAAAGAUUAUUUUAUUAGGAGAAUAGUACAAAUACCAAAUUUAUUUAAUGAUGAAUCUUUAUAACGUUAUAAACCCAUAUAAAAUCAAUUAUAUAAUAUUAUAUGUUAUGAUAAUAUAAAGUAAAAGAUAACGGAGGAUAUGUCACAUAAUAGAGGAGGCCCCCAAAUGGUUACAAAAGGGCUAUUAUAUGCAAACUAGAGCUAAUCACGGGCCUUCUGGCCCGCCCAGUCUGACUUAGAAUUUUUCGGGCUUGGGCAUUAAAAAAAAGGCCCAUGGGUCGGGCCUGAGCAGGAAAAGUGGCCCGACCAAAAAAUCGGGCCGGGCCUAGAAACUUUUAAAAAUGACUCGGCCCGGCCCGCGUUUUAUAUAUAAAACA